Molecule: microRNA precursor, 93 nt
Organism: Ophiophagus hannah (king cobra)
Lineage: Eukaryota; Metazoa; Chordata; Lepidosauria; Squamata; Elapidae
Rfam family: mir-217 microRNA precursor family
Source: Rfam
GAAUUUUUGAUGUCGCAGAUACUGCAUCAGGAACUGAUUGGAUAAUAAUCAAACACCAUCAGUUCUUAAUGCAUUGCCUUCAGCAUCUAAACA